UUGACAGCCCUGGAGACAGAAGUCCUGUAUUUAUCUACAGACAAUUAACAGAAUGGGUGAUAACAGUAAAAUUUCCCCAAAGUAUCAAAUCAUGAUAUGGAUAGCAGGACCGCCUCCUGAGGCAGGAGUAUAGGUUAGCCUCCAGGCCCAAUCAAUGCCUGGCCAUU
RNAcentral lists this small RNA (167 nucleotides) under Chelonoidis abingdonii (Abingdon island giant tortoise). RNAcentral's name for it is "TUC338 (ENSCABG00000012326.1)". Lineage: Eukaryota; Metazoa; Chordata; Testudines; Testudinidae. The record is from RNAcentral.